This 745-nucleotide ribosomal RNA is filed under the name uncultured bacterium. Its description in RNAcentral is "bacterial SSU rRNA". It matches the Rfam family "Bacterial small subunit ribosomal RNA", at positions 8 to 796 of the family's 1533-position model. The record is from RNAcentral.
AGAGUUUGAUCAUGGCUCAGAGCGAACGCUGGCGGCAGGCUUAACACAUGCAAGUCGAGCGCCUGUAGCAAUACAGGAGCGGCAGACGGGUGAGUAACGCGUGGGAACGUACCUUCUGGUUCGGAAUAACUCAGGGAAACUUGAGCUAAUACCGAAUAAGUCCUUCGGGAGAAAGAUUUAUCGCCGGAAGAUCGGCCCGCGUAAGAUUAGCUUGUUGGUGAGGUAACGGCUCACCAAGGCUACGAUCUUUAGCUGGUCUGAGAGGAUGAUCAGCCACAUUGGGACUGAGACACGGCCCAAACUCCUACGGGAGGCAGCAGUGGGGAAUAUUGGACAAUGGGCGCAAGCCUGAUCCAGCCAUGCCGCGUGAGUGAUGAAGGCCUUAGGGUUGUAAAGCUCUUUUAGCAGGGACGAUAAUGACGGUACCUGCAGAAAAAGCCCCGGCCAACUUCGUGCCAGCAGCCGCGGUAAUACGAAGGGGGCUAGCGUUGCUCGGAAUCACUGGGCGUAAAGCGCACGUAGGCGGGUCGUUAAGUCAGGGGUGAAAUCCCGGAGCUCAACUCCGGAACUGCCUUUGAUACUGGCGACCUUCGAGUCCGGGAGAGGUGAGUGGAACUGCGAGUGUAGAGGUGAAAUUCGUAGAUAUUCGCAAGAACACCAGUGGCGAAGGCGGCUCACUGGCCCGGUACUGACGCUGAGGUGCGAAGGCGUGGGGAGCAAACAGGAUUAGAUACCCUAGUAGUCC